GAUGAACGCUGGCGGCGUGCUUAACACAUGCAAGUCGAACGGAAAGGCCCAAGCUUGCUUGGGUACUCGAGUGGCGAACGGGUGAGUAACACGUGGGUGAUCUGCCCUGCACUUCGGGAUAAGCCUGGGAAACUGGGUCUAAUACCGGAUAGGACCACUUCUUGGAUGUUGUGGUGGAAAGUUUUUUCGGUGUGGGAUGAGCUCGCGGCCUAUCAGCUUGUUGGUGGGGUAAUGGCCUACCAAGGCGUCGACGGGUAGCCGGCCUGAGAGGGUGUACGGCCACAUUGGGACUGAGAUACGGCCCAGACUCCUACGGGAGGCAGCAGUGGGGAAUAUUGCACAAUGGGCGCAAGCCUGAUGCAGAGACGCCGCGUGGGGGAUGACGGCCUUCGGGUUGGAAACUCCUUUCGCUAGGGACGAAGCGUUUUGUGACGGUACCUGGAGAAGAAGCACCGGCUAACUACGUG
RNAcentral lists this ribosomal RNA (467 nucleotides) under uncultured bacterium. RNAcentral describes it as "partial 16S ribosomal RNA". It matches the Rfam family "Bacterial small subunit ribosomal RNA", at positions 28 to 507 of the family's 1533-position model. The record is from RNAcentral.